This 449-nucleotide ribosomal RNA is filed under the name uncultured bacterium. RNAcentral's name for it is "partial 16S ribosomal RNA". It matches the Rfam family "Bacterial small subunit ribosomal RNA", at positions 29 to 523 of the family's 1533-position model. The record is from RNAcentral.
AACGAACGCUGGCGGCAGGCCUAACACAAGCAAGUCGAGCGAGGACUUCGGUCCUAGCGGCGGACGGGUGAGUAGCGCGUGGGAACGUGCCCCUUGGUACGGAAUAGCCCCGGGAAACUGGGAGUAAUACCGUAUGAGCUCUACGGAGGAAAGAUUUAUCGCCAAGGGAUCGGCCCGCGUUGGAUUAGGUAGUUGGGGGGGUAAUGGCCUACCAAGCCGACGAUCCAUAGCUGGUUUGAGAGGAUGAUCAGCCACACUGGGACUGAGACACGGCCCAGACUCCUACGGGAGGCAGCAGUGGGGAAUCUUAGACAAUGGGCGCAAGCCUGAUCUAGCCAUGCCGCGUGAGCGAUGAAGGCCUUAGGGUUGUAAAGCUCUUUCAGCUGGGAAGAUAAUGACUGUACCAGCAGAAGAAGCCCCGGCUAACUCCGUGCCAGCCGCCGCCGUAA